UUGUGUAGGGUCGGUUAUGGUGGGGCUUAAGCAGUGGAACGUGCUAGAAAUCUCGUCAUGCGUCUACCGAUCAAUACUCGGUAUUUUCAUAUUUUUUCCGCCGAACGUACGAAAAUUGUCACAAACGUGGCAUGAAACGAAAGUUUACGAGACGGGGAACACGAUUGUAUCGGUGGUCGGGGAAUAUGUAAUCGGGAAAGAGCCGAAAUUCUCGAAGAAAGGAAUGUGCGCAGUAAUAUGCUGGGUGCCGGUGCGAGUCUCGAACGUUCUACGCUGCGUCGUCGCGCGCCUAUAUAAGAGGGCCGGCCGGUCUGCCUCGGUGCAUUCGUAAAUUAACUUUCGUUCAGUUCGGACGUGACGAACACCCGAAGACCCAUCAACCAGUGGCCACACAUCUUCGAUUCUUUUACGUGGUUUCAUCAAGCUGCCGACAACAGGACGUUAAAAUGUAGACAAGAGGCAUAUCCGGUACGGAGUGCGACAGUUUACCUGCACCCUAUGAGGUCGGUGCUCGAACUAUCCGUGCGCAACGAUAUAUUGGUACGGCUAAUUCGAAAUUUCUCCGCAUUUCGAAUUGUUUGAGAAGAGCAGUUCGAGAUCACAUGCAUUAGUUUAGAGCAGACUCGUAAUUUGAUCGAGAUAAAUCGUCGGGACCGUCUUCUUUAAACCGAAUAUCUACCACGAGGGCACACGGAACGUUGGAAUCGAGAAAAGACAAAACCGAACCGAAACAAAAAAAACCGCGUGCGAGGCUUUUACGCGGCACUAGGUUGCGAAUCAUCGCGAUUCGCCCCCGGCUCUCACCCUCCCUCUUCGUC
Colletes gigas is the source of this 818-nucleotide long non-coding RNA. RefSeq lists it as uncharacterized. The record is from RefSeq and is a predicted model, not a curated record. The transcript has 3 exons. NCBI's taxonomy places the organism in Eukaryota, Metazoa, Arthropoda, Insecta, Hymenoptera, Colletidae.